AUACGUAGGUGACAAGCGUUAUCCGGAUUUACUGGGCGUAAAGGGCGUGUAGGCGGUCUUGCAAGUCAGAAGUGAAAUUCCUGAGCUCAACUCGGGCGCUGCUUCUGAAACUGCAGGACUUGAGUGCUGGAGGGGAUAGCGGAAUUCCUAGUGGAGCGGUAAAAUGCGCAGAUAUUAGGAAGAACACCGGUGGCGAAGGCGGUUAUCUGGUAAGUAUGGCACGCUGAGGCGCUAAAGCGUGGGGAGGAAACACGAUUAGAUACCCUGUUAGUCCACGCCGUAAACGAUGAAUACUAGGUGGUGGGGGGCAAAGCCCUUCGGUGCCGACGCAAACGCAAUAAGCAUUCCUCCUGGGGAGUACGUUCGCAAGAAUGGAACUCAAAGGAAUUGACGGG
RNAcentral lists this ribosomal RNA (395 nucleotides) under uncultured bacterium. RNAcentral describes it as "partial 16S ribosomal RNA". It matches the Rfam family "Bacterial small subunit ribosomal RNA", at positions 523 to 917 of the family's 1533-position model. The record is from RNAcentral.